GACUGAGUGGCGGACGGGUGAGUAACGCGUGGGUAACCUGCCUCAUACAGGGGGAUAACAGUUGGAAACGGCUGCUAAUACCGCAUAAGCGCACAGGAUCGCAUGAUCCGGUGUGAAAAACUCCGGUGGUAUGGGAUGGACCCGCGUCUGAUUAGCCAGUUGGCAGGGUAACGGCCUACCAAAGCGACGAUCAGUAGCCGACCUGAGAGGGUGACCGGCCACAUUGGGACUGAGACACGGCCCAAACUCCUACGGGAGGCAGCAGUGGGGAAUAUUGCACAAUGGGGGAAACCCUGAUGCAGCGACGCCGCGUGAGCGAAGAAGUAUUUCGGUAUGUAAAGCUCUAUCAGCAGGGAAGAAGAAUGACGGUACCUGACUAAGAAGCACCGGCUAAAUACGUGCCAG
RNAcentral lists this ribosomal RNA (405 nucleotides) under uncultured bacterium. Its description in RNAcentral is "bacterial SSU rRNA". It matches the Rfam family "Bacterial small subunit ribosomal RNA", at positions 89 to 511 of the family's 1533-position model. The record is from RNAcentral.